CCUACGGGAGGCAGCAGUGGGGAAUAUUGCGCAAUGGGCGAAAGCCUGACGCAGCGACGCCGCGUGAGGGAUGAAGGUCUUCGGAUUGUAAACCUCUUUCAGCAGGGACGAAGCGAAAGUGACGGUACCUGAAGAAGAAGCACCGGCUAACUACGUGCCAGCAGCCGCGGUAAUACGUAGGGUGCAAGCGUUGUCCGGAUUUAUUGGGCGUAAAGAGCUCGUAGGCGGUUAGACACGUCGGAUGUGAAAACUGGGGGCUCAACCCCCAGCCUGCAUUCGAUACGGUCUGACUAGAGUGUGGUAGGGGUAACUGGAAUUCCUGGUGUAGCGGUGAAAUGCGCAGAUAUCAGGAGGAACACCGAUGGCGAAGGCAGGUUACUGGGCCACCACUGACGCUGAGGAGCGAAAGCGUGGGGAGCAAACAGGAUUAGAUACCCUGGUAGUCCACGCCGUAAACGGUGGGCGCUAGAUGUGGGGACCAUUCCAUGGUUUCUGCGUCGCAGCUAACGCAUUAAGCGCCCCGCCUGGGGAGUACGGUCGCAAGACUAAAACUCAAAGGAAUUGACGG
This 568-nucleotide ribosomal RNA is filed under the name uncultured bacterium. RNAcentral's name for it is "bacterial SSU rRNA". It matches the Rfam family "Bacterial small subunit ribosomal RNA", at positions 338 to 916 of the family's 1533-position model. The record is from RNAcentral. RNAcentral also lists the same sequence under 1 other name.